GUCAUCGUGAUCCUGCACGCGUGUUUGCAAUGAGCAUACCUGAGCGGAAAGCUGAUCUGUCUGAGUAUGGAUGCUACUAACUUCCUGGUGAGCGGGUGUGAACAUCUUUGAGCAUUUGGAAAAUGACCCUCAUCUGUUCCGCGGGAUCUGCGGGUAAGGAUGCUAUGUCACCGAGCGUGUCCGAACGCUUGGUAGGGGGCCCGGGGUUGCUCUCAACAUCGCCAGCGCGUAGAAGCAAAAAAGGUAUGAAAAAACAUUCACAAAACACUUCACACAACACCCGUGGACACGGGACCAGUAUUAAGCAGAGGUUGUUAUUUUUCUUUGCAUAUAAAGAAACGUUUGCACACACCUGCAUUGCAAAAGGGAAGCGAUUCAGUGCUUGUACAGAAGCACCGAUCCCGUGUCCACUGAAUUGGUUU
RNAcentral lists this long non-coding RNA (422 nucleotides) under Rhipicephalus microplus (southern cattle tick). RNAcentral describes it as "uncharacterized LOC119180866". The record is from RNAcentral. Lineage: Eukaryota; Metazoa; Arthropoda; Arachnida; Ixodida; Ixodidae.